Xenopus laevis (African clawed frog) is the source of this 2560-nucleotide long non-coding RNA. RefSeq lists it as uncharacterized. Lineage: Eukaryota; Metazoa; Chordata; Amphibia; Anura; Pipidae. The transcript has 2 exons. The record is from RefSeq and is a predicted model, not a curated record.
AUGGGUCAUGUUUCAGUGAUGGGUAUAAAGGAUGAGAGGGUGGAGGAAAGGUUUUCAGGGGGAGCGGGUAGAUGGGCCAAUGGGAUGAAUCCUGCCCUCUCUUUACGCUGCUGCGAACAAAUAGCAUGCCUCCAAGCUCUGCACAUGACUGCAUUUGCUCCUGUCCUUCAAGUGGGUCAUAUAUAGUUCAAUGCAAGUGCAAGAGACAGGGAGAAGAUAGUUUAGUCUGUAGGCACUCCAAUGGGUUUUAGCCUAGGAAUCCUCUCAUGUGCUGACUGCACAAGCUGCUCAUUCCAAUACAGAACAAGGGAAAAGCUUCACUCGCUGUGCUGAUUACUUAGCAUUCAGGAAAUCCCUCCGCCCCGUGCCUUCACUUGUAGCGCUCACCCAAGGAUCACCCUCCUGCCAGGUGAGUAUUUAUGUCUUCAGUCCUAACAAUUGUCAUUGAUAAGUAUUUGAAAAUAUGUGCACAGAGGUAUCUGAUGACUGCACGUGGUUUCUUUGUUCUUUCAGUUUCCCUACUGGGGAAAUUCUUACUAGCGCUGGUUAGAGCUUUAAUUUCUUUUCAGUAUUUCAGAUUGCUUGCAAGAAUAAUAGCGUGGUGGGAGAUUUACUGAACACUAGAAAAUAAGAUACGGCAAACAGGCGUCCUUGUCCAGGGUAUGAAUGUAACUGAAUACUCUGCUCGCCGCAGGGCUGGUUGUACUAGACAGGGAGGGACUGAGCCAGACAGGGGGACAAAGCCACACCAGCUAAACCCAGACAGAGUAAGCAUCCUGAUAGGUCGGCAGCAGAGGGUCACCCGGCUUUUGUGCAGUGGGGAAUAAAAAAAAAAAAAAGGCUACAUAGAACUAACCAAUCUUGUACUCAAGUCCUGAAAUAAUUAUACCACAUAGAUGACUUGGGAAAGGCUGUCUAUUCCGUAGUGAGAACAGCUAUGAACCCAAGUGAUGUUUUUGUAUAACACACACUCAUUUGCCACGGUUUUUUUAGAAUUUGCCAGCAAAUCCUAAUCCAAAAAUUCAAUAGAAAGACCUACAAUUGUGUGGGAUUGCGUGCACGCCUUAAAUUCCAGUGUUGACACAGUAUCAAGAUAAUGGGUACAUUAGUUGCACUGUAAUAAUGAGAUCAUAAAACCACAUCAGACAAUGGAAGGGACAUUUUCAGACAGAACGGCUUGCUACAGAAUGUGACACACGGCACAGGCAGUUUUUGGCUGCCUGUCACCACUAAUGCUUUUUGGAAGAUCGUCCAGAAAGUAAUACACCUUACAUGCCUGUGUGCCUGAAUGGGGGGGGGGGGUGAUAUUAGACAAGCUCAGGCAUGUAAACAGCAAACUGUGCUAUUCCAACAAAGCCAAGAUGUGGUUGGCGUUUACAGGGUUAAAUUGCACGUAAAAACCCAGAACAUUUGACAUCAUCAAAGCAGACAAAAGGAAAAGCAAUGAGGUGCCGGCUCAAGUAAAAACCUAACAAUGAGUAAAAUAAUACAGUCUCUGAUCUCUCCUCCUAAUUUCCCCCCUUGAGUGAGGAGGAAUGUGCUAAGUGACAGGAAAUGUUUCCAAACCUGCCCACAACUACCCCCCCCCAACCUUUUACUAGUCGCGCCUGCUUUUGUCUACAAGGAUCCACAGACUUCUGCUGGAGACAUCUCUCUCUCGCUUUAAGAUGCAGGAUAGACAGGGAGAUGCAUAAGACACAUCACAAUGUGUUUGCUUGGAAGACUUAAAGACCAAAUAAGUGGUGAGACUCUGCUGUUCUUGGUGUACAACAGAAUCCUUGCUGAAAUCCAGGUGAUGAUGAGGUGAAAACAUACAAUCUACAGUGACGGCUAUGUGCUUGGAAACCAAGUCUUAUAACACUGAUGUCGUUGGAUGCUCAAGUAGAUACAAACAGCAAUGUGCCAGACAUGAGUGCCCACACCGCACUUGCCUGAUAAAAAUAACUAAUAAUAAACAGAAAAAUAUAUUUUAUUUGACGACUGCAGUGUGGACACCCAUUGCCUGUGGGGCACCGUAUUGCUCCUGAAGAAUAGGUUCAUACCCAGCAUUAGCCAUAAUGCAUUUCCUGGUGACCUAAUCAAGAUCCUGGAAUGUGUCGGUCUCAGCAGAUUUUCCGCCUUUCUGAUGGCAAUCGAGCCCCAACUUGAUGGCUUCAGAGAACAUUCAACGCUGUCGGUGAGUUUGAGAAAGUGUAAAAAUGUAAACCAUCGGCCGUUGACUGUACCCUGAGGCUUUUCACAAAACAAGUGCCUGAACCCGGUUUCUGGAAACACCAAUCUUCCACCACUGCUGUGAAUGUCACUAAUUGUAAUGAACGGGGUUAUAUUUUAUUAUCACAUCUUAUAGCUAUAACAGCUGAAUGAGCAGAACACAUCAGCAUUGUUUCCACUUGAUUUUAGGAUUUUCUUAAUUGUAAUUAACUGCUGUAAAGUGGCCCAACCUAUGGGUUUAGAAUUCUCACAAAAAGGUGAAAGAACUUGUAGAUAAAAAACAGCUGAAAGUCUCCAGGUAAGGCUAAAUCUAUUGUCACACUGAAAUAAAUGAAGAAUUUUGCCUUUA